CCUACGGGGAGCAGCAGUGAGGAAUAUUGGUCAAUGGACGGAAGUCUGAACCAGCCAUGCCGCGUGCAGGAAGACGGCUCUAUGAGUUGUAAACUGCUUUUGUACAAGGGUAAACCUGAAUACGUGUAUUCAGCUGAAAGUACUGUACGAAUAAGGAUCGGCUAACUCCGUUCCAGCAGCCGCGGUAAUACGGAGGAUCCAAGCGUUAUCCGGAUUUAUUGGGUUUAAAGGGUGCGUAGGCGGAGUGAUAAGUUAGAGGUGAAAUGUCCGAGCUUAACUCGGGACCUGCCUGUAAUACUGUGGAUCUAGAGGGUAGAGGCGGAAGGCGGAAGGUAGGGUGUAGCGGUGAAAUGCUUAGAGAU
RNAcentral lists this ribosomal RNA (362 nucleotides) under uncultured bacterium. RNAcentral's name for it is "partial 16S ribosomal RNA". It matches the Rfam family "Bacterial small subunit ribosomal RNA", at positions 338 to 697 of the family's 1533-position model. The record is from RNAcentral.